UUUAUUUUUUGUUCUUAAUAGUAAUUAUCAUUAAUUAAAUUUUUGUGUGAAAAAUAAAAUAUAUUAAUAAAAUUUUAAAAAAAUUAUAUAAAGAAGAUUAAAUAAAAUAUGAAAGUACCUUAAAAUUUAUAAAUUUUGUUUAGGCUUUAUAUUAUGAUUUGGAAUUAUAUAGUAUUAAAAAAUAUAUAGUAUUAAAAAUAUAUAAAAUAGUUUUUAAUUAAAUUUAAAAUAGUGCCAGUCGUAACGGUUAUACUAGAUUUAUUUAAUAUUAUAAAAAUAAUUUAAAAAAAAUAAUUUGUAUUUAAUUAAAUAAGUAUUAAAUUAAAAAUUCUAAUUUAUGUUUAGUUUAAAAUUUAAAUUUUAGGCAUAAUAUUAUAUGUAUGAAUUUAGAGAUUUAAAUUUAAAUUUAAUUUAUAUAAGUAUUUAAUAUAGCAUAAAGAAAAAUUUUGUAUAAAUGUAUAUCUUUAAAAGUAUAUAAAAAUUAUAGUAUUAAUGUUAAUUUAAAAAAUUAAUAUUAAUAUAAAUGUAUAUAAAUAGUACAUAAUUAUAUAUAAAAAUUGGUAUUGUUGUCCAUAAGCAUUUAAUAAAAUAUAAUAUGUAAUUAUAAAUGUAAAUAAAAAUUUUUAUU
Molecule: ribosomal RNA, 628 nt
Filed under: Trypanoplasma borreli
Lineage: Eukaryota; Euglenozoa; Kinetoplastea; Parabodonida; Parabodonidae
Description: partial 9S ribosomal RNA
Source: RNAcentral